Molecule: ribosomal RNA, 1467 nt
Filed under: Triticum aestivum (bread wheat)
Lineage: Eukaryota; Viridiplantae; Streptophyta; Magnoliopsida; Poales; Poaceae
Description: partial small subunit ribosomal RNA
Source: RNAcentral
AUGGGGCGUAACAAGGUAAUCGAUGACACUGAUCUCCAGGAAAUAUUAGCCAUACGUGAUGAAUUUGGAGUCUUGCAAAAGGACAACGGUCAGUUACAGACUCAGGUGUCAAAGCUUCAUACGGAGGUGCAAGAAAUUGGGUCUAAGCAGAGAGAGAUCUCUGCCACUGUAGGCGAUGUGGAACGAGUGGUGCUGGACUUGGGUAAACAGUUGUCAGUAAUCAGUAAUGUCCUGCAAACUCUGGUGAAAACAACUCAAUCUACACAACAAGCAGAUCGUCCUUCUAGUUCUCAAGAAGUACCCAAAUCCCCUACACUGAAUCAAGAUCACUCUCAAGAACAAGAGGCAAGAUUGGAGCAGUUACGAAAACAACUAGCAGCAGAGAAAGAAAAGUCUAAACAAUUAGAAGAACUCCAGCUUCAGAAUCUGCCACCAAUCAGAGUGAAUAGAGCAGAGGGUCCUCCUGGAUUUGCAAACCAAGGAAGACAGGAACAACAUAGUACAGUGGUCACCCCUACAGCAGCAAGACAACAAGUUCAUACUCCUGCAUUCAACCAGUUCUAUCAGCAGAACAGAGAAAGACAAAUGUGGCAGGGUUAUCACAGAAAUUAUGAACAAGACAUGCAAGCCCAGUUCAUGAGAGCAUUAACAAAAGGUCCUAAAAUGGAGUUUCCCAAAUUUUCAGGAGAAGAUCCAGUGGGAUGGAUCAGACAAGGCAACAAAUACUUCCAGAUGGCUGCUGCUCCAGAAGAGUAUAAAGUGUCAUUAGCUCAACUAUAUAUAGUGGAUGAGGCUGAUGUAUGGUUGAGAAGAUCUGGGCUGCUCAAGAAACAACUCUCAUGGAAACAAUUUGGGGCAGAAAUAGUUAAGAGGUUCUCAGAACAAGGAUCAUAUGAUCUUACAGAAAAAUUCACUUCCUUGAAACAAGCAAACAACACAGUUGUUGCAUAUACAAAGCAAUUUGAGGAUCUGAUGGCAGAAGUUCUGGAAGAAAAUCCUGAACUAGGAGAAACCUGGUUCAUAAGGUGCUAUGUCAAUGGUCUCAGAGAUGGAAUUAAAUUCCAGCUGAGACCACUGAGACCACAGUCCUUAACUGAUGCCUACUGUCUAGCAAAAGAAGUAGAACCCAAUCAUCCACCUAUCAGUGCUAUGCCCAAGAAAAAUACCAGUACCUUUGUCAAUUAUUAUCAGAAGAACACUGGUGCCUUUCAGAACAAAACUAACAACAACACUGUUCCUGUGCAACAAAAUACUCCAGCAAAGCAAGUAGAACACAACACAAACACUUUCACAAAACCGAGGAAAGUGGGAGAAUGCUGGAGAUGUAGGGACAAAUGGGUACAUGGUCAUAAGUGCAAGUUAAUCCCAAAUGUUCACUUGUUGCAAACAGAUAGUGUAGAGCAAGAAACCUUGGAAGAGGAAGUGUUACAUCAAGAGCAAGAAGAAAUUCCUGAAGAAGGGGAUUAG